RNAcentral lists this long non-coding RNA (530 nucleotides) under Apteryx rowi (Okarito brown kiwi). RNAcentral describes it as "lncRNA (ENSARWG00000015573.1)". The record is from RNAcentral. Lineage: Eukaryota; Metazoa; Chordata; Aves; Apterygiformes; Apterygidae.
CAGCGCUUCACAACCAGCUGGAUGCAGGCUUGGGGCUGUGCUACUCUGAAAGAAAUGCUAGGCAAAAGCUGUAGCCCCAGCAGGGAGCAUCUUCUCCAGCUCACCUGGCUCUGAGCUGUUGCAGUCCCUACAUCACUCCAGGUCCCCUAUUUGGGAAAGGGACGAUACUGAAGCAUUUGGUCCCCAGGUCCUGCCCAGGAUCGUGGGCAGGGGGAUGUGGGGAUCGCUGCUGGCAGACCCCUGGGAAGAGAUGUCUGUAUUUGACUGAAGACCAAACCAAAGUUCCUGAUAUAAAACUGAUAGUAGCAAAAGAAACUUCCAAAAAUACCCUCUGGGGGAACCCAGCUGCUGGGARAGAAGGCGUCUGCAGGGGCUGGCAUGCACGAGAGGGCCUGUUUAAACCUGACCGUGAGAUGUGAAUGCGUUUGAGUUUCUUUCACUGUGUCAUUGGAAGAUGGGUGCAGAGACAGCUGAGAAGCUGCUCUGUUUGCAUUUCCCCCACCUCUGGCAGGGAGAGCAAGCUAAUGCUG